Molecule: ribosomal RNA, 260 nt
Filed under: uncultured bacterium
Lineage: Bacteria
Description: partial 16S ribosomal RNA
Rfam family: Bacterial small subunit ribosomal RNA
Source: RNAcentral
UACGUAGGGUGACGAGCGUUGUCCGGAAUUAUUGGGCGGUAAAGGGCUCGUAUGGCGGUUUGUCGCGUCGGGAUGUGAAAUUCCGACUGGCUUAACUGGUGGCUUGCUUUCGAUACGGGCGACUAGAGUGCGGUAGGGGAGGACUGGAAUUCCUGGUGUAGCGGUGAAAUGCGCAGAUAUCAGGAGGAACACCGGUGGCGAAGGCGGGUCUCUGGGCCGUAACUGACGCUGAGGGAGCGAAAGCGUGGGGAGCGAACAGG